CGUCUUCACAAAGUGGCGGCUGUUACCAUGAGCUGAGGGUGCGGUUUUCAGCCCUUUGACGUCAAAAGGGUCACUUAUCAGGCAUCUGCGCAGGCCCAGUGGAUGGGUUGGUGCACUCCACCUGUGU
Non-coding RNA from Ceratotherium simum simum (southern white rhinoceros), 127 nucleotides. The record is from RefSeq and is a predicted model, not a curated record. Lineage: Eukaryota; Metazoa; Chordata; Mammalia; Perissodactyla; Rhinocerotidae.